This 217-nucleotide unclassified non-coding RNA is filed under the name Hevea brasiliensis (rubber tree). Lineage: Eukaryota; Viridiplantae; Streptophyta; Magnoliopsida; Malpighiales; Euphorbiaceae. The record is from RNAcentral.
GGUAUAUUCCAUGCAUGAGAUGCUCCCUCAAUGGCAUCAACCAAGUAUUCCGAUAGAAUAGAGAUCCAGGCUGUCAUAAUUCCAAGCCAAAUCACUGAUUCCCAUUUGGAAAUCUCUGGAGUUUCAUCAUCAUUGUCAUAUGUACUCUCACCAUUCUGACUCCCUUCCUCUUCAAUAGGAAUAUAUAAAUCCUUUUGACUCCUUAACUGGAAAAAAA